Molecule: non-coding RNA, 23 nt
Filed under: Cricetulus griseus (Chinese hamster)
Lineage: Eukaryota; Metazoa; Chordata; Mammalia; Rodentia; Cricetidae
Source: RNAcentral
AAACUCGACUGCAUAAUUUGUGG